Long non-coding RNA from Cercocebus atys (sooty mangabey), 2384 nucleotides. RefSeq lists it as uncharacterized. The record is from RefSeq and is a predicted model, not a curated record. The transcript is spliced from 3 exons. NCBI's taxonomy places the organism in Eukaryota, Metazoa, Chordata, Mammalia, Primates, Cercopithecidae.
CCAUAGAUAUAUUGUGAUUUAUUUUCCUCUUAUGACAAGACAUUUUGUUAAUUUCUAAAUGUUUUAGUUUUAUAAAUAACAUUGCAUUGGACAGCUCUAUACAUAGAUAUUUGUAAUAAUUCAACUACUAUUCUUUGAACACUAUUUACUGCUUUGGAUGUUGGAGAUACAUUAGUGAACAAACAGUCCAAAGUCCCUGACCUCAUGGGGAGGAGGAAAGAGAGACAAUAAGGACGUAAACUAUAAAUUACAUCAAAUAGUGAUGAGUACUCUGGAGAAAACUAAAUCAGGGAUGGGGAAUAAGAAGUGAUGAUAUAGGGGCCUUGGGAUUAUAGUUUUAAAUAGGAUGGUCAGGAAAGAAAGAGAAAAUGACAUUUGAUCAAAUACCUGAAGGUGGUGAGGCAGCAAACCAGGUGGAUAUUGGAGAAAAACAUUCCAGGCAAAGAGAAGCAUGUAAAGACCCUGAGUUUGGAGUGGAUCUAGCAUGUUUAAGGAACAGCAGCAAGGAGGCCAGAAUAGCUGACGCGGAGUUCAUAGGAAAGCUGUAGGAGGUGAAGAAGUCCAAGAGGACCUUCUGAUGCUAAGUGGAAUUUGGCCUCUAUGCCCAGAAAUAGGAGAGCAUUGGAGGGUUGUGCACAGAGGGCUAUCUGAUCAUUUUGGCUAUUCUGUGAGAGUAGACUAUAGAGGGUAGAAACGGAAAAGUCAGGAGGUUAUUGCUGUAAUCCAGGUGGGCAAUGAUGUUGGCUUUUGGACAGUGGGGAUAACAGUAAAGGUGGUGAGAAAUGGGUUUUUAUUGGCUUAGUGUGGGGUUUGAGAGAAAGGAGUCAGGGAUGACUUAAGGCAUCUCCAAUUAGUUCCUUAGGAUGAAUGUCAAGAAUGGGAAUUUAUUAAUGGGUUUUUAGAGCUCUUUAUACAUAUGGCCAGAUUGUUCACCUGCAAAGUUAAGUCAGUUUAUAUAUGCAGUAUUCUCCGUGGAAAAACAGUUUACAAAAGUUUUUGAGAGAAACUGUUUCAGCUAGAAUUUUUUAAUAGCUUUGCAAAUUACAUAAGCCUGCAUAGAGAAUUAUUAGAGAUCUGAACCAUUCACUUAAAGCUUGCAUGUAUAUGUUACAACAUUUUAACCAGGAAAAUCUUUCUGAUAGAGAUAGCCAAAGUCUAGGUGAUUCCCUUUUGAGCCUAUACUAUUGAAAUAACUAAAACAUGGAGUGGAAUUUGAUAAAUGCCCCCCCCCAAAAAAAAGAGUUCAAAAUACUAUAAGGAACGUUUACCCAAGGAAAAAGGACAAGAAAGAGGAACUUUAAAAAUUAGCAGAGAAGACGGUAUGGAACAAGGGACCUGACUUGUCAAAGCAAAGAGAAAAGAAUAAUUUCUCUUUUGCUCUUAGAAAAGCAAGUAGGUUUUUAAAAAAAAAUUACCAAAACAUCAAAUGAAGCAAAGACUAAGACUGUUAGAUUGAGAAAGCCAUUGUUGACUUUUAUAAGUCUUUUUAAUGGAAUAUAGAUACAGAAGAAAUAAGGUAAAUUAGAUCACUAGGAGUUUUAGUGAAUGAAGUCAGAGAAUAUAUAACUUCUCUUUUUGCACAAGAAAAUAUGAAGGAAAAACUUGAAUAUGUUUUUAGGUAGAAAAAGAGCAAGGAAAAACUGAGGCUGUGAGAAAGGUAUAAUUGGUAUGGCAGCUCUCUGGAGCAGGAGAGAACAGGGUCAGCUUCAUAGGUGGGGCCAUUAGGAUGUGAAAGAUGGAGCAAUGACUUCUCUGAGACCAGAAAUAAUGACAAGAAUACGAGCAAAGUAACUAGCACAAUUCCCAGUGUGAUGGUUAAUUUUAUGUGUCGACUUGACUGGAUCACAGGAUACCCAGAUAUUUGCUCAAACAUUAUUCUUGGUGUGUCUAUGAGGGUGUUUCUGGAUGAGAUUAACAUUUGAAUCUGUAGACUAAGUAAAGCAAACUGCCAUUCCUAAUGUGGGUGGACCUCAUGCAAUCAGUUGAGGGCUAAAUAGAACAGAAAGGCUAAGUAAGAGAGAGUUCUUUCUGCCUGACUGCCUUUGAGCUGGAACAUUGGUGUUUUUCUGACUUCAGGCUCAAACUGUAAUACUGGCUCUUCUCAGGCCUUGAGCCCACUUGCCUUCAGAUUGCAACUUUACCAUCCGCUGUCCUGGUUCUCAGGCCUUCGGGGAAGACUAGAACUAUACCACUGACUCUCCUGGUCUCCAGUUUUCCAACUUCAAAUCUUGGGAUUUAGUCUCCAUAAUCAUAAAAAGAAAUGGAAACUAAGCAAUAUUAAUUAACAUAGUCCAAGGUCACAAAGCAAAAUGGAAAUAGAACCUGGAUCUGAAUUCAGAGGCAAGAUGCUGGAGAUAGGGUCUUGUUCUGUCGCCCAGGCUUGG